UGUCAAGGGAUGGGAAUCGAACCCCCGACCUUCCGCUUACCGGGCAGAUGCCAUGACCACUAGGCUACCCUGGAC
Molecule: non-coding RNA, 75 nt
Organism: Cordylochernes scorpioides
Lineage: Eukaryota; Metazoa; Arthropoda; Arachnida; Pseudoscorpiones; Chernetidae
Source: the annotation of a GenBank genome assembly